UUCUUACAUUUAUCAGUGCUUUUGUUAACACUUCAAAUAGCUUUCAAUAGAUUAUAACAAUUAGUCCUGGAAAAAUCUCUGUUCUAGAAAAUGCAGCCCUGGAAAAUAUUAGAACACUUCACAAUAAGCAUAGAUGCAGUACUGGAUCUAAGUUUGUAUGUUGAUGAAUGACGUUUAAAGGCCUCAAGGAUACAAUGUAAUCAAAUAUAUCUUCAGAGCACAACUGACACUCAGUCCCUUGCAAAUGGGAAUUUGGCCCCAAGGAAAUAUAUAAAACGUAACUGAAUAAUCAAACAUAAGUUGAAAUCCCUUCCUAAUUUGAGCAUAUGCUAUAGCUGCAACUGCAGCACCCCCCAAGUGUGCUGAACCUGCAAUGUGACUAUUCCCCUGAGAAAACAAAUUGCACCAAUCAAUAGUGAAUUAACUUUUUAGAUUGGUUAGAUUAGUUGUUUCCAUUAGCACGCACAAACAUACGAAAAGAAAAGGUUUGUUGGAAAGAUGAUAACACAGCCAAAGGAGGAAAAGCAACAAACCUCUAAUGUUAUCAAUACAUCUUUCCUGAUUAAAAAGAUUUCCUAAAACCAUGAUCAAAGGAAUGUCACAAGCACUUGCGAAAUAGACUGAAACAAUUAUUAUUUCUUUUAUAGAAGUAAGCUUUACCAUUAAGAUGGCAGGAACCGGUAUAAUAAAAUCCAAGUAAAUAGUGGAUCUUGGAUUCAAGAAUAUAUCCAGCAGAAUUGUAGCAGUGACGGCCCACAAGCCGCCUAAAAGAUACAAGCAUGCUCACGAGUCAAUAUACUUCAAGUUAAAUAAUGAUCUAUUUGCAUGUUCCAGCAGAUGAGAAAGGCAACAACUUUCUGGAAAUGAAAAACUCAUCUAAGACUUCCAUCCAUCUUCAGGAUACAUGGAGAAGAGUUUGGAUCAACAUAUCGCCCCAAGCAAUUGAGCUGAUGAUUUGACAAAUCUUUUGUAGGAUAAUUUAAGCCGUGUUCAGAAAACAAAUUAAAGCUGCUCUACAUUUUUAGGGUGAGAAACUAAAUUUUACUAAUUUCAAAAUCUGUAAGAACAUAUGUAAAAGACAGUUGCACAAAAAGCUAUCACAUUGGAAUUGGGGUUGACAUAGUCCUUAUCUCAAGAUCAUUUUCUUUUGAUUUCAGAUAUCAAUUUGUUGAAUAGUUUAUUUGUUCAUAAGUUUCAGAUUCAAAGUUCAAGGUAUCAAAGGAUACAUUCUGUACAAAUGGUAAUCUUUCUCAAAUACUGAUAACAGAUCAUGAAUUCGUGAUAAGGACUUCAACAUUCUUUGGCUGAAAUAGUUUUAGUAGAAAAUGAAAAAGAAAAGAAAAUGAACUUGACGUAAACAGUUUCCAAAAGCAUACCAAUGCCGGAGUUCUUGAAGGGUCCUCCACACACGUUCCUUGUCCCUGUAGUUAGCAAAAAGCUGAGAUCAGAGUCAGGGUUAUGGGCCACCGAAAGAUCCAGGAAUCACAGUAAUGUUUGAACUGGAAUUCCAACAGGAAUAUUUAUGUAAAACUAGGAAGAAUUAGACCAAGAGAAACACAUUCCAAGAAUCAAAUAGGGUAGAGAAACUCAUUGUCAGGGAUCAAGAGAAACACAUUCUGAAGACACAAACGAGGAGAAGCUAAAUCUCUAUAAAAAUCACAAAAAUCAAACUUCUAAUUUAAAAACCCCCAGUCCUAUUUAUAGAGUUUAAAAUUCCAAUCACAUUAGGAUUUAGAACCCUAAUUCAAAUCUAAAUAGUAAUACUAAAU
RNAcentral lists this unclassified non-coding RNA (1769 nucleotides) under Hevea brasiliensis (rubber tree). The record is from RNAcentral. Lineage: Eukaryota; Viridiplantae; Streptophyta; Magnoliopsida; Malpighiales; Euphorbiaceae.